Vigna radiata var. radiata (mung bean) is the source of this 329-nucleotide long non-coding RNA. RefSeq lists it as uncharacterized. The transcript is spliced from 3 exons. The record is from RefSeq and is a predicted model, not a curated record. Lineage: Eukaryota; Viridiplantae; Streptophyta; Magnoliopsida; Fabales; Fabaceae.
UUCAAUCCUUUCUUACUCCAUGCUUGAAAUUUUGCAGGUCAAUUUUUNAUUUUGAAUCUAUCAAGAAACUGCUGUCCUCUCCNAAGUUCACUUUCUGUUAUGAUGCNCUUCAUGGGGUUGCUGGAGCAUAUGCAAAGAGUAUUUUUGUGGAUGAACUUGGAGCACAAGAAAGCUCUUUACUGAACUGUACACCUAAGGAAGACUUUGGAGGAGGACACCCAGACCCCAAUUUGACUUAUGCGAAAGAGUUGGUUGCUCGAUUGGGAUUGGGCAAAUCAGAACCACAAGAUGAGCCCCCAGAGUUUCGUGCUGCUGCUGAUGGUGAUGCA